GCCGACAUAGCUCAGUUGGUAGAGCAGCUGAUUUGUAAUCAGCGGGUCGGGAGUUCAAGUCUCUCUGUCGGCACCA
This 76-nucleotide transfer RNA is filed under the name Alphaproteobacteria bacterium. Its description in RNAcentral is "tRNA-Thr". It matches the Rfam family "tRNA". Rfam says of the family: Transfer RNA (tRNA) molecules are approximately 80 nucleotides in length. Their secondary structure includes four short double-helical elements and three loops (D, anti-codon, and T loops). Further hydrogen bonds mediate the characteristic L-shaped molecular structure. tRNAs have two regions of fundamental functional importance: the anti-codon, which is responsible for specific mRNA codon recognition, and the 3' end, to which the tRNAs corresponding amino acid is attached (by aminoacyl-tRNA synthetases). tRNAs cope with the degeneracy of the genetic code in two manners: having more than one tRNA (with a specific anti-codon) for a particular amino acid; and 'wobble' base-pairing, i.e. permitting non-standard base-pairing at the 3rd anti-codon position. The record is from RNAcentral. Lineage: Bacteria; Pseudomonadati; Pseudomonadota; Alphaproteobacteria.